This 530-nucleotide ribosomal RNA is filed under the name uncultured bacterium. RNAcentral's name for it is "bacterial SSU rRNA". It matches the Rfam family "Bacterial small subunit ribosomal RNA", at positions 356 to 896 of the family's 1533-position model. The record is from RNAcentral.
UGGGAAUAUUGCACAAUGGGCGGAAGCCUGAUGCAGCAACGCCGCGUGCGGGAUGACGGCCUUCGGGUUGUAAACCGCUUUCGCCUGUGACGAAGCGUGAGUGACGGUAAUGGGUAAAGAAGCACCGGCUAACUACGUGCCAGCAGCCGCGGUGAUACGUAGGGUGCGAGCGUUGCCCGGAUUUAUUGGGCGUAAAGGGCUCGUAGGUGGUUGAUCGCGUCGGAAGUGUAAUCUUGGGGCUUAACCCUGAGCGUGCUUUCGAUACGGGUUGACUUGAGGAAGGUAGGGGAGAAUGGAAUUCCUGGUGGAGCGGUGGAAUGCGCAGAUAUCAGGAGGAACACCAGUGGCGAAGGCGGUUCUCUGGGCCUUUCCUGACGCUGAGGAGCGAAAGCGUGGGGAGCGAACAGGCUUAGAUACCCUGGUAGUCCACGCUGUAAACGGUGGGUACUAGGUGUGGGGUCCAUUCCACGGGUUCCGUGCCGUAGCUAACGCUUUAAGUACCCCGCCUGGGGAGUACGGCCGCAAGGCUA